This is a long non-coding RNA of Hippopotamus amphibius kiboko, 1699 nucleotides long. RefSeq lists it as uncharacterized. The transcript has 7 exons. NCBI's taxonomy places the organism in Eukaryota, Metazoa, Chordata, Mammalia, Artiodactyla, Hippopotamidae. The record is from RefSeq and is a predicted model, not a curated record.
ACUGCACAUUUGGAGAGAAGGAAAGAGUGAAUCCAGAAGUGCUGCUGGUAGCAGCUGAAGGUCUGCGGGCUGGAGUGGGGCUGCAAAUUCAGAUUUCGCUGACUAGACAGCGCGCGGUGACAGUCCCUUGGACGGACCCCGAAUCAAAGCUGGGACAGUGGUGGGGAAAAUUCUGCGCUUCGGAGACCGGCAUCUCAGAAGACAGCCAUGCCCGUCAGGCCCCGACGCCGCGCCGCCGUGAAUAAAUGGCGCGGGCCCCGCCCUGCUAGCUCUCUUUGUGCAGCGAACGCGUGGAUGGAGAGAGUGGUACCUUUGGCGUCUGUCUGGCGGCUGCUGCGAAACCUUCCCCCAACAAGGGGAAGGCGGCCGCCCGGCGCUGGCUUUGCACAGCUACCGGCUUGCGGGUAUCUCAGGGCUCUUUUGGGUGAGGGGACCGCGGUUUCGGGCUGAGCAGGAUGAAUUAUCAAUACAGACUAGAGUUUCUGAUGUCUCUGUGACGCCAUGGCCCCUGAUUCUCGAAGAAGGGUCCGCAGCGCCCCAGGGGGGUUUAAGACGUCCACCAAGGUGUUAUUCUUGAACAAAGCGUGAGAGCUUUGGAAGCCCAGCCGGGGCAGUGCCCCUUCACAGAGGUUCAGGGCUAGCCUGAUGAGUGAAGGCCUGAGGUUUGGAAUUCUCUCGAAGUGCUGUUGGGAUGGCUGGGGUGCCCAGGUCAUCGUUCCUGCCACUUGAUCAGCGGGCUGUAAGGAGAAGUGGAGAGCAGUGUGCUUCUACCUGGGUCCUGUGAGUUUUGCUCACACAAAGGAUGUCCUCUACCUGGUGUUGGACAGAUCCUCGGAACUUCACAUCUUUCCUGCGUUAACCCGUGAGCAGCUGUCAACCUCCUGGGGUUGGGGGAGGGGACUGCCUAGAGAUUUGGGGGCGAAAGUCAAUUAGGCGGCCUUUACUUGGUUUUAUCAAAAGGAUUCCAAUGAUAUCUUUUAAAGCAAAUAAAAAAUAGAUAGGUCUCAGUGAAAACAAGAUGGUACAGAAAGGCUUAGGGAUGUGAAUGGUUAACCACCAGUGAAUGGGCAUCACAGUUGACAUCUAGCUGUACCUAUUUCCAGCUACAUACAAAAAACAAAUUAGAUUUGCCACACUGACAUUAAUGUUAAAGAUAUCUUGAUUGUCAUAGUAGUCUAAUAUUUGAGGGUUUUACGAUACUGUUAAUAUGGGCACUUAAUAUGCUUUUUGAUCAAUUAGUAAAAACAUAGGUUGUCCAGAUAUAUUUUAAAAGAACAUACUCCUGGUGGAUGCCAGGAGCUGGGAAUGAGGAAAUGAAGAGUUGUUGUUUAAUGGGUACAGAGUUUCAGUUUUACAGGAUGAAAAAAAAUUCAUGGGGAGGACGGUGGUGAUGGUUGCUGUUAUCGCUGAACUAUAUGCUUAAAAGUGGUAAAGAUGUGGGGGGACGGGGAUAAAUUGGAAGAUUGUGAUCGACACACACUAGUGUAUAUAAAAUAGAGAACGAGUAUGGACAUACUGUAUAGCACAAGGAACUCAAUACUCUGUAAUGGCCUGUAUGGGAAAAGAAUUUUUAAAAAAAGAAAGUGGCUAUACGUGUAGCUGAUUGACUUUGCUGUACACCUGAAACUAACACAUUGUAAAUCAACUAUACUCCAAUAAAAAGUUUCUUUUAAAAAGUGGUAAAGAUGGUAAAUUAUGU